GAGUAAAGAUUUCGGUCGCUUUGGGAGGAGCUCGCUUACUAUCAGCUUGUUGGUAGGGUAAUGGCCUACCAAGGCUAUGACGGUUAGGGGGUGUGAGAGCAUGACCCCCAGCAUUGGCACUGAAACACUGGCCAAACACCUACGGGUGGCUGCAGUCGAGAAUCUUCCACAAUGGGGGAAACCCUGAUGGAGCGAUGCUGCGUGCGGGAUGAAGGCCUUCGGGUUGUAAACCGCUUUUGUAGGGGACGAAAUUUUUGACGGUACCCUUUCGAAUAAGAGGUUGCUAACUCUGUGCCAGCAGCAGCGGUAAUACAGAGACCUCAAGCGUUAUCCGGAUUUACUGGGCGUAAAGCGUCUGUAGGGGGUUUAUUAAGUUCCAAGUAAAAUUUCAAGGCUCAACUUUGAAUUCGCUUGGAAAACUAAUAAACUGGAGUCUAGCAGAGGUGCAUGGAACUUGUGGUGUAGGAGUGAAAUCCGUUGAUAUCACAAGGAACACCAAAGGCGAAGGCAUUGCACUGGGCAAGCACUGACCCUGAGAGACGAAAGCGUGGGGAGCAAAACGGAUUAGGAUACCCGUGUUAGUCCACGCCCUAAACGAUGAAUGCUAAAUGUUCGGGGAUUCGACCCCCUGGGUGUUACAGCUAACGCGUUAAGCAUUCCGCCUGGGAAGUACGGCCGCAAGGCUAAAACUCAAAGGAAUAGACGGGGAUCCGCACAAGCGGUGGAGCGUCUGGUUUAAUUUCGACAGUAAGCGUGGUACCUCACCAGGGUUUGACAUCCCUUGACAGCCUUGGAAACAAGGUUUCCUUCGGGCAAGGUGACAGGUGCUGCAUGGUCGUCGUCAGUUCGUGCCGUGAGGUGUUCCGUUAAGUCGGGAAACGAACGAAACCCCUAUUGCAUGUUACAAUUUCUCAUGCAAGACUGCCCGGAUAUACUGGGAGGAAGGUGGGGAUGACGUCAGAUCUGCAUGGUCCUUAUACCCUGGGCGACACAGGCGCUACAAUGGCA
Molecule: ribosomal RNA, 1008 nt
Filed under: uncultured organism
Description: bacterial SSU rRNA
Rfam family: Bacterial small subunit ribosomal RNA
Source: RNAcentral